This 468-nucleotide ribosomal RNA is filed under the name uncultured bacterium. RNAcentral's name for it is "partial 16S ribosomal RNA". It matches the Rfam family "Bacterial small subunit ribosomal RNA", at positions 28 to 507 of the family's 1533-position model. The record is from RNAcentral.
GACGAACGCUGGCGGCGUGCUUAACACAUGCAAGUCGAACGGAAAGGCCCUGCUUUUGUGGGGUGCUCGAGUGGCGAACGGGUGAGUAACACGUGAGUAACCUGCCCUUGACUUUGGGAUAACUUCAGGAAACUGGGGCUAAUACCGGAUAGGAGCUCCUGCUUCAUGGUGGGGGUUGGAAAGUUUCGGCGGUUGGGGAUGGACUCGCGGCUUAUCAGCUUGUUGGUGGGGUAGUGGCUUACCAAGGCUUUGACGGGUAGCCGGCCUGAGAGGGUGACCGGCCACAUUGGGACUGAGAUACGGCCCAGACUCCUACGGGAGGCAGCAGUGGGGAAUAUUGCACAAUGGGCGGAAGCCUGAUGCAGCAAAGCAGCGUGCGGGAUGACGGCCUUCGGGUUGUAAACCGCUUUCGCCUGUGACGAAGCGUGAGUGACGGUAAUGGGUAAAGAAGCACCGGCUAACUACGUG